Long non-coding RNA from Macrobrachium nipponense, 883 nucleotides. RefSeq lists it as uncharacterized. NCBI's taxonomy places the organism in Eukaryota, Metazoa, Arthropoda, Malacostraca, Decapoda, Palaemonidae. The transcript has 2 exons. The record is from RefSeq and is a predicted model, not a curated record.
UUCCUUUGAAGAAGGGCGAAGUGACGUCACUGACUGACGUGUCAUUCCUGCCCAGAAUUUGAUGCAUUUAACUACCGAAGAAAUUAGUCUCAAUCAUCCGACUCCUAGUCCCAGCUGUCGCCAUUUAUUUGCUAGGUCGAAUUCCGUCUAAACAAUACAGAAUGCGACAAUAUGAAGACUCGACGCUUCAGCAGAGUAAAAAACACGGCGCUGAUCCAGACACCGAAUCCGGAGGAACGCACGGAUAGGAAAAAUAAUCUGCAACCUCGAAAAGAAUUCUUAAAGAAAUUAACUGCGCGGUUCAGGCGCGUAAAACUAUCGCUAAAAAAUUGAAGAAAACAAGAAAAACUAGAGCGACUUGAUGGUAGAAAGAUCAGACUAUGCAAAUGUUUCAUAUCGCAAGCUUAAUUUUGAGUGUUUUCAAAUAAUAAAAUGCAAACACUCAUUGUGCCUCGCCCAGCUGACUUCAUUUUGUUAUAAUUUUAACGCAUUUCCAGUCUAAUCUGAAUGUGAUGUUUAUUAGUCUUUUGUAUAUUAUUGUUUGUGUGAUAUAGAAUUGGAUAUUCUGAACAGCUCUCGAUAUGACCUCGUGUUAUUUAAAAAAAUUAAUAAUUAUUGAUGCCAUUUGUUUUGAAAGUUCUUUAUUUUCUUUUUCCUUUUUAGGAAAUGUAACUUGUGAAAUGAGUUUAUGUAUUUGGACCGUUGUUUAAUUUCAUAAUAUUGUAUUUGAUGUUUCUGUGGAGAAUGGUCAAUAAAAUAUCUAUCUAAUCAAUGCUAGAAAAACAUUGUAUUUUUCUUGAGUCUUGUUUAAUAAAUCUCAAUACAGAAAAUAUAUCUUUACACGAUGUACUAUAUGCAAAGGUGAAAAUAUAUAUGCAAUUUC